Molecule: long non-coding RNA, 616 nt
Organism: Drosophila obscura
Lineage: Eukaryota; Metazoa; Arthropoda; Insecta; Diptera; Drosophilidae
Exons: 2
Source: RefSeq, a predicted model, not a curated record
AGUUUUGUUUUUUAUACUUUUCGUUAUUUGUCAGUCUAGUUCUGUUAGAAUUAUAUUGGGUGUGAUCGACUUUAAGCGUCUUACUAUAUUGUUUGAGGAGUUGAUUCAAAGGGAGUGAGCUAAAGCAUAUGUUUUGCGAGCGCCUUUGGAAAAGUCAAGUCCUUUUCUUUCGUUGAAUUGGUGUUACCUGCGCGGAUAAGUAGCCAGCCGACAGUUCUGACACUCCAAAAUAGACUUCAAAACUCAAAAGAAACUGCCUGGUGCACAUAACAAGUUUUCACUACUUGUCACGGUGGCUGAAAUAUUAAGUUUUGUUUAGGAAGCACCUUGAAAAAUCAAAAAUUAUGGAGUAGUGGAACAGAUUGAACAGAUGACAAAUAUUUUCUUAAAUAGUAUGAAAUGCGUUUUCUCAGCACCUUUAAGUCCAACAAAUUUUACGAGCGUUCACCAUUAUCGUAGGCGCUUUUUACAUGGCGGUGGAUAUUGCUCUACCCCUAGACCUUGACCAUUGGACAACCAGAAAAAAGAUUGAAAUAAGAUGUUUUACAAUUAAAAACUUAUUAUUAAGGUUUAUUUCGUUUUAACUUUUCUCGACAUAUUGUUUUGUAGACUUUGG